GGGUCCCGGGGAGGGGGG
RNAcentral lists this microRNA (18 nucleotides) under Homo sapiens (human). Its description in RNAcentral is "hsa-miR-4281". The record is from miRBase by way of RNAcentral. Lineage: Eukaryota; Metazoa; Chordata; Mammalia; Primates; Hominidae.